UACGAAGGGGGCUAGCGUUGCUCGGAAUCACUGGGCGUAAAGCGCACGUAGGCGGACUCUUAAGUCGGUGGUGAAAUCCUGGAGCUCAACUCCAGAACUGCCUUUGAUACUGGCGACCUUGAGUCCGGGAGAGGUGAGUGGAACUGCGAGUGUAGAGGUGAAAUUCGUAGAUAUUCGCAAGAACACCAGUGGCGAAGGCGGCUCACUGGCCCGGUACUGACGCUGAGGUGCGAAAGCGUGGGGAGCAAACAGG
RNAcentral lists this ribosomal RNA (253 nucleotides) under uncultured bacterium. RNAcentral's name for it is "partial 16S ribosomal RNA". It matches the Rfam family "Bacterial small subunit ribosomal RNA", at positions 524 to 776 of the family's 1533-position model. The record is from RNAcentral.